This 484-nucleotide ribosomal RNA is filed under the name uncultured bacterium. RNAcentral's name for it is "partial 16S ribosomal RNA". It matches the Rfam family "Bacterial small subunit ribosomal RNA", at positions 30 to 507 of the family's 1533-position model. The record is from RNAcentral.
AUUGAACGCUGGCGGCAGGCCUAACACAUGCAAGUCGAGCGGAUGAAGGGAGCUUGCUCCUGGAUUCAGCGGCGGACGGGUGUGUAAUGCCUAGGAAUCUGCCUGGUAGUGGGGGAUAACGUCCGGAAACGGGCGCUAAUACCGCAUACGUCCUGAGGGAGAAAGUGGGGGAUCUUCGGACCUCACGCUAUCAGAUGAGCCUAGGUCGGAUUAGCUAGUUGGUGGGGUAAAGGCCUACCAAGGCGACGAUCCGUAACUGGUCUGAGAGGAUGAUCAGUCACACUGGAACUGAGACACGGUCCAGACUCCUACGGGAGGCAGCAGUGGGGAAUAUUGGACAAUGGGCGAAAGCCUGAUCCAGCCAUGCCGCGUGUGUGAAGAAGGUCUUCGGAUUGUAAUGCACUUUAAGUUGGGAGGAAGGGCAGUAAGUUAAUACCUUGCUGUUUUGACGUUACCAACAGAAUAAGCACCGGCUAACUUCGUG